GACGAACGCUGGCGGCGUGCUUAACACAUGCAAGUCGAACGGAAAGGCCCUGCUUUUGUGGGGUGCUCGAGUGGCGAACGGGUGAGUAACACGUGAGUAACCUGCCCUUGACUUUGGGAUAACUUCAGGAAACUGGGGCUAAUACCGGAUAGGAGCUCCUGCUGCAUGGUGGGGGUUGGAAAGUUUCGGCGGAUGGGGAUGGACUCGCGGCUUAUCAGCUUGUUGGUGGGGUAGUGGCUUACCCAGGCUUUGACGGGUAGCCGGCCUGAGAGGGUGACCGGCCACAUUGGGACUGAGGUACGGCCCAGACUCCUACGGGAGGCAGCAGUGGGGAAUAUUGCACAAUGGGCGGAAGCCUGAUGCAGCAACGCCGCGUGCGGGAUGACGGCCUUCGGGUUGUAAACCGCUUUCGCCUGUGACGAAGCGUGAGUGACGGUAAUGGGUAAAGAAGCACCGGCUAACUACGUG
Molecule: ribosomal RNA, 468 nt
Filed under: uncultured bacterium
Lineage: Bacteria
Description: partial 16S ribosomal RNA
Rfam family: Bacterial small subunit ribosomal RNA
Source: RNAcentral